GGCAAGACUCACCCUGCAAUGGGGGAACAUAGUACCCUGCUGCUCCCUGGGGAAUACUUUAAUGCUUGCAACUAGCAGUGCACUUUCACUUGCUCUAGGUGUGACCUGCCUCCUCCAGUGCUUCCAGGGAGAAGUCUGAAAUGCAUUUGCUGCGUGCAGAAUCUCACCAUCAGUGAAGACUUAAAGCUUCAGAAAGAAACUGUGUAUUAAAAAUGGACACAAACUGUUGUCAUCUUUUAUCCUCUGAAGGAAAUUAAAGCAGAAUAAUAAGGGAAUGUGCUUUUGGAUAAUGAGGGGCAGGAAAGUGUGCAUGAGAUGACAACAGAAAGUAAUAACAGGAAAGAACAUUUUCUCUCCAUUUCAAGAAAGAAACCUCAAAAAAAUAAGAGGAAUGUUUUCAUUAAAGGGGGAAUCAUCUCUAAUUAUACUUUGUUUGUCAUCUUCCACUGCAAAGCUUUCAUUAGUAGUCUUCCACAUUCUAUCUUAUUUUGAAAACAAAAAUUAACCUAUAAUAAACUAAUAAUGUAUUAUUAUAUGUUGAAAAGAAUUGUGGGGUCAGCCACUUGGAUAUAAACACUGCCUGGCUUUGGGGAAAAUGUUGUUCUGUUGCUUCUCUUAAAAGAUCAGUGGCCAAAGAAACUAUCUGUUGGUCAGCGUGUUCAUGCUUCAGUAGGACAUUCUUGCUUCACUAGGGCUGACAAAUUGAUCUUGACAUAUUGAAAGAGGGUGCAAAUGUAAUGACAGCUGGG
Long non-coding RNA from Pezoporus occidentalis (night parrot), 749 nucleotides. RefSeq lists it as uncharacterized. NCBI's taxonomy places the organism in Eukaryota, Metazoa, Chordata, Aves, Psittaciformes, Psittacidae. The transcript has 3 exons. The record is from RefSeq and is a predicted model, not a curated record.